GCAAGUCGAGCGGUAGAUGGUGCUUGCACCAUUGAGAGCGGCGAACGGGUGAGUAACACGUAGGUUAUCUGCCUUACAGACUGGGAUAGCCACUGGAAACAGUGAUUAAUACCGGAUAUUGUCGAAAGAUGAAAGGUGCGUUUGCACCACUGUAAGAUGAGCCUGCGUUCUAUUAGCUUGUGGGUGGGGUAAUGGCCUACCAAGGCGAUGAUAGAUAGCCGACCUGAGAGGGGGAGC
RNAcentral lists this ribosomal RNA (237 nucleotides) under uncultured bacterium. RNAcentral describes it as "partial 16S ribosomal RNA". It matches the Rfam family "Bacterial small subunit ribosomal RNA", at positions 57 to 305 of the family's 1533-position model. The record is from RNAcentral.